RNAcentral lists this ribosomal RNA (654 nucleotides) under Scolecobasidium tshawytschae. Its description in RNAcentral is "LSU rRNA". It matches the Rfam family "Eukaryotic large subunit ribosomal RNA", at positions 1 to 667 of the family's 3401-position model. Lineage: Eukaryota; Fungi; Ascomycota; Dothideomycetes; Venturiales; Sympoventuriaceae. The record is from RNAcentral.
UUUGGCCUCGGAUCAGGCGGGGAUACCCGCUGAACUUAAGCAUAUCAAUAAGCGGAGGAAAAGAAACCAACCGGGAUUGCCCCAGUAACGGCGAGUGAAGCGGCAACAGCUCAAAUUUGAAAUCUGGGGUCCUUUGGGCCUCCGAGUUGUAGUUUGCAGAGGGAGCCUCGGAGGGCGUGCCGGCCCAAGUGCCUUGGAACAGGAUACCGCAGAGGGUGAGAGUCCCGUAUCCGGCCGGUGGCGCGCUCCGUGUGAGGCCUCUUCGACGAGUCGAGUUGUUUGGGAAUGCAGCUCCAAGCGGGUGGUAAAUUCCAUCUAAAGCUAAAUACUGGCCAGAGACCGAUAGCGAACAAGUAGAGUGAUCGAAAGAUGAAAAGCACUUUGAAAAGAGAGUCAAACAGUACGUGAAAUUGUUGAAAGGGAAGCGCAUGGGGGCAGACUUGGCCGCGGGGUUCAGGGUGCGUUCUCGCGCCUGCACUUCCCCGCGGACAGGCCAGCAUCGGUUCUGGGGGCCGGACAAAGGGGCCGGGAAGGUAGCCGCCUUCGGGCGGUGUUAUAGCCCGGCGCGCAAUGCGGCCACCUGGGACCGAGGACCGCGCUUCGGCAAGGAUGCUGGCGUAAUGGCCUCAUGCGGCCCGUCUUGAAACACGGACC